This 1471-nucleotide long non-coding RNA is filed under the name Vigna radiata. Its description in RNAcentral is "long non-coding RNA (VRAD_LNC017654)". Lineage: Eukaryota; Viridiplantae; Streptophyta; Magnoliopsida; Fabales; Fabaceae. The record is from RNAcentral.
AACCAAACAAAAUAUACAACAUAGUGAACGGAAAAAAGUAAAUUGAACAAUGCAAUAGAUGAAUAUCCAAACAAACUUUAAAACUAUUAAAAUGCAACGCUUGAGUGAAAAUGAGAUGCACCAUCACGAGAAUCAAUAAAGCAAACACGUGUAAACAUAACCUUAGAAUAAAAUUUCAAUCAUAGUGCGUGAACAAAUUUAAAAUCAGCUCCUCUUCAUUCCAAGAAAAUAAAAAUAACCGCAUGUGCACAUAAAUUAAAUCAACGCUACUGUUUCUCUCAGCCCAAAAUCAACAUCCGUCUCUCUCAAUGGAAAUCACCAUAUGUGCUUCUAAAAAGAUAAUGANAAAGAAAUNAAAAACAGCNNGCGCAGAGCUUCAAUAAUUAAAAGCAAAAUUUCCUUCGUGAAUCACUGUUUCAUUGCUUUCUAAAAUAAAAAUGGAUGUGCUAAAUAAAGUUGUUGUAACCGUGAGGACACUUCCUCCUUCAAGCAACGUCCGCCUCCAUUCUUCUUCUUCCUUCAUGUGUCGCUCUGCAGAACAACCCCCCUCUCCAAAUAGUUGAUGGCUCCUCCAAUAUAUUGUAUAUUCCUCUCCUAGGUUUUCAUGUCCCUCCAACUCUGGACCCACUUUACUCAGAAUCCAUCUCUCCAAAUCACGUCUUGGAGCCUCUUCUCCACAGCCCAAAGACUCGUGCCCUUCAUUCACGUGUUAAACCGUGCAAAGGUUGGAUCAGUCAUGUGCUAAUUAAUUAACACUUCCAGCUACAUCAUGAAGCUCGUGAGGUGCUUGCUGGCUGCACCCCUAGUUCCUUGCUGCCUGGACCGUGAACUGCUCAUGGACGUGAUUCUGCUAUGAAUUAUGGGCUGCAGUUGGGCUGAGAGCACCUCCUGGAAGUUGAUGGAAUGAAGCUGCUGGGCUUUUCUUUAUAUUCUAGGUUGCAGCCCCCAUUACAACAACGUGUGUCCUCCUAAAAUCAAUCAGCCCUUGCUCGAUGUUGCCAAGGUGCUUGGGUGAAUGAAGUUGGGCCGUGUAAGACGUUGAAGCUGCUGGUUAUGAACCUGUGAUGCACCUCCAAAAUAACCAAGCUCUGUGCGUGACAUUGCUGCUGGCCCGUGAGGUGCUUGUUGCUACAGUGAAGAUGUGGACCGCUGGUUUCUAACUGCUGCGUGGGCUUCUCCAAAGCUACACACAUUUCUUCAAGCAUACACGUGGGCUGAUGAUGGAUGAACGACAAACACGUUGCUGCUUCUACUAUUUGAUUGUGUGAUGGGCUGUUUCUUAUGCUGCCAGGUGCUUUUGGACGUGGUGUUAUCUGGACCGUGCAGCCCAAGUUGGACGAAUGAAGAGUUGGUGCUGUUUGCUCCCAUUUAUUCCAACCGAUGCCUAUAUUUCUCAGCCCAAUGAAUCAAUAGUUGGACCCAUUUGCUUCUACUUUUACGUGAUAGCAUCAACCCGUGUGCUCCAUCCACC